This 309-nucleotide unclassified non-coding RNA is filed under the name Hevea brasiliensis (rubber tree). The record is from RNAcentral. Lineage: Eukaryota; Viridiplantae; Streptophyta; Magnoliopsida; Malpighiales; Euphorbiaceae.
GCCUGAUGGCAUUCUGAAUGGCCUUGAGAUAAUGAAGAUAAACAGCUCCAGUCCGGGAAUGGUUGUCCAGCCGUCUGGUCCGAAGAAGAAUAUUUUCAUCAUAUUGGGUCCUGUUCUUGGGGUGAUUGCUGUCGUGAUCAUUGCUGUGUUGUUUUUCAUGGCGCUAAGGAGAAGGAAGCUGGCGAAAAAGCAUCAUUCGAAGACUUGGAUGCCUUUCUCUAUUACCGGACUUUCUCACAGUGUGGGCAGCAAGUUCUCUAAUGGAACUACGAUCGCUUCUGGCCUGAAUGGGGGUCUUGGGUAUCGGUU